UGGGGAAUAUUGCACAAUGGGGGGAACCCUGAUGCAGCGACGCCGCGUGAAGGAAGAAGGUAUUCGUAUUGUAAACUUCUGUCGCAGAUGACGAAAAGAUGACGGUAAUCUGUAAGAAAGCACCGGCUAACUACGUGCCAGCAGCCGCGGUAAAACGUAGGGUGCUAGCGUUGUCCGGAAUUACUGGGUGUAAAGGGAGCGCAGGUGGCAGUGCAAGUUGGAUGUAAAAUCUACGGGCUCAACCCGUAUAAGCAUUCAAAACUGUGCAGCUUGAGUGAAGUAGAGGUAGGUGGAAUUUCCGGUGUAGCGGUGGAAUGCGUAGAUAUCGGAAGGAACAUCAGUGGCGAAGGCGACCUACUGGGCUUUAACUGACGCUGAGGCUCGAAAGCAUGGGUAGCAAACAGGA
Molecule: ribosomal RNA, 406 nt
Filed under: uncultured bacterium
Lineage: Bacteria
Description: bacterial SSU rRNA
Rfam family: Bacterial small subunit ribosomal RNA
Source: RNAcentral